RNAcentral lists this microRNA (20 nucleotides) under Pongo pygmaeus (Bornean orangutan). Its description in RNAcentral is "ppy-miR-4427". Lineage: Eukaryota; Metazoa; Chordata; Mammalia; Primates; Hominidae. The record is from miRBase by way of RNAcentral.
UCUGAAUAGAGUCUGAAGAG